This 449-nucleotide ribosomal RNA is filed under the name uncultured bacterium. RNAcentral describes it as "partial 16S ribosomal RNA". It matches the Rfam family "Bacterial small subunit ribosomal RNA", at positions 29 to 523 of the family's 1533-position model. The record is from RNAcentral.
AACGAACGCUGGCGGCAUGCCUAACACAUGCAAGUCGAACGAGACCUUCGGGUCUAGUGGCGCACGGGUGCGUAACGCGUGGGAAUCUGCCCUUCGGUUCGGAAUAACUCAGGGAAACUUGAGCUAAUACCGGAUGAUGUCUUCGGACCAAAGAUUUAUCGCCGAGGGAUGAGCCCGCGUAGGAUUAGGUAGUUGGUGGGGUAAUGGCCCACCAAGCCGACGAUCCUUAGCUGGUCUGAGAGGAUGAUCAGCCACACUGGGACUGAGACACGGCCCAGACUCCUACGGGAGGCAGCAGUGGGGAAUAUUGGACAAUGGGCGAAAGCCUGAUCCAGCAAUGCCGCGUGAGUGAUGAAGGCCUUAGGGUUGUAAAGCUCUUUUACCAGGGAUGAUAAUGACAGUACCUGGAGAAUAAGCUCCGGCUAACUCCGUGCCAGCCGCCGCAGUAA